Molecule: ribosomal RNA, 326 nt
Filed under: uncultured eukaryote
Lineage: Eukaryota
Description: partial 18S ribosomal RNA
Rfam family: Eukaryotic small subunit ribosomal RNA
Source: RNAcentral
CCCUUAGAUGUUCUGGGCCGCACGCGCGCUACACUGACGAAUUCAACGAGCUUAUAACCUUGGCCGAAAGGUCUAGGUAAUCUCCAAAAUUCGUCGUGAUGGGGAUAGAUUAUUGCAAUUAUUAAUCUUCAACGAGGAAUGCCUAGUAAGCGCAAGUCAUCAGCUUGCGUUGAUUACGUCCCUGCCCUUUGUACACACCGCCCGUCGCUCCUACCGAUUGGGUGUGCUGGUGAAAUGUUCGGAUCGGCCGUUUGUCGCGGUUUCCGCGGCUCGUGGCUGAGAAGUUCAUUAAACCCUCCCACCUAGAGGAAGGAGAAGUCGUAACA